RNAcentral lists this ribosomal RNA (468 nucleotides) under uncultured bacterium. RNAcentral describes it as "partial 16S ribosomal RNA". It matches the Rfam family "Bacterial small subunit ribosomal RNA", at positions 28 to 507 of the family's 1533-position model. The record is from RNAcentral.
GACGAACGCUGGCGGCGUGCUUAACACAUGCAAGUCGAGCGGAAAGGCCCUUCGUGGUACUCGAGCGGCAAUCGCGUACGUAUGACGUGCAUAACAUGCACCAGCCCUUGGCAUAACCAUCGGUACAGGGGGCUAAUACUGGAACCGGCUAAGAGUCGCUUCGGCUCGGUGUGGGUUGUUAUUUGUCGGCGGUUGGGGAUGGGCUCUCGGCUUAUCAGCGUGUUGGUGGGGUAGUGGCCUACCAAGGCGGGGACGGGUAGCCGGCCUGAGAGGGUGACCGGCCACAUUGGGACUGAGAUACGGCCCAGACUCCUACGGGAGGCAGCAGUGGGGAAUAUUGCACAAUGGGCGGAAGCCUGAUGCAGCAACGCCGCGUGAGGGAUGACGGCCUUCGGGUUGUAAACCGCUUUCGCCUGUGACGAAGCGUGAGUGACGGUACUGGGAAAAGAAGCACCGGCUAACUACGUG